Molecule: long non-coding RNA, 338 nt
Organism: Telopea speciosissima
Lineage: Eukaryota; Viridiplantae; Streptophyta; Magnoliopsida; Proteales; Proteaceae
Exons: 3
Source: RefSeq, a predicted model, not a curated record
UACCUUAAGCAUCAUGCAGGCAAUUUAUACUUUUCUUGUUUAUUUAAUCUCCCCACCCCAAAGUUUUAAGUAUCGGUAUCAGGUAUCGUAUCAGAGAGGUGAUUUUGAGAGACCUAUCCUAUCUUAUUGAAUUGGAGAGAUACAAGAUACGCUAAAGAUACGCAUGGAAAUAGUCAAGAAAUGCAUGGAUGUGCUUGUGAUACAUACAAAAUAGCAGUUUUGAAGCAUAAAACACCUUAUUAUACAAUAUGUAAAUAUAUAUCAGCUUGAUGCAAGGAUUUGAGUUGUUUUUACUUAAUGUAGUGAUGCAUUAAAAAAAGGAAAAAGAGAUUUGAGCA